Molecule: microRNA, 24 nt
Filed under: Brachypodium distachyon (stiff brome)
Lineage: Eukaryota; Viridiplantae; Streptophyta; Magnoliopsida; Poales; Poaceae
Description: bdi-miR7782-3p
Source: miRBase by way of RNAcentral
ACCUGCUCUGAUACCAUGUUGUGA